RNAcentral lists this ribosomal RNA (429 nucleotides) under Sesamia congoensis. RNAcentral's name for it is "partial 16S ribosomal RNA". The record is from RNAcentral. Lineage: Eukaryota; Metazoa; Arthropoda; Insecta; Lepidoptera; Noctuidae.
UUAAAGGGCUGCAGUAUAUUGACUGUACAAAGGUAGCAUAAUCAUUAGUCAUUUAAUUGAUGACUUGUAUGAAGGAUUGGAUGAAAUAUAAACUGUCUCUUAAUUAUAUUUAGAAUUUAAUUUUUUAAUUAAAAAGUUAAAAUAAAUUAGAAAGACGAGAAGACCCUAUAGAGUUUUAUAGAUAAAAUUAAUUGAGAUUAUUUGUAAAGAUUAAAUUAAGAUUAAUUUAUUUAUUUUGUUGGGGUGACAGAAAAAUAUGAAAAACUUUUUAUAUGUUUAAAACAUUAAUAAGUGGUUAAAUGAUCCAGUAUUAUUGAUUAUAAGAAAAAAUUACCUUAGGGAUAACAGCGUAAUUUUUUUUUUUAGUUCACAUAAAAAAAAAAGUUUGCGACCUCGAUGUUGGAUUAAGAUAAAAUUUAAAUGCAGAAG